Molecule: ribosomal RNA, 536 nt
Filed under: bacterium KB06L
Lineage: Bacteria
Description: bacterial SSU rRNA
Rfam family: Bacterial small subunit ribosomal RNA
Source: RNAcentral
GCAUGGGCGAAGCCUGAUGCAGCAACNCCGCGUGAGGGAUGACGGCCUUCGGCCUUGUAAACCUCUUUUAGUAGGGAAGAAGCGAAAGUGACGGUUCCUGCNGAAAAAGCACCGGCUAACUACGUGCCAGCAGCCGCGGUAAUACGUAGGGUGCAAGCGUUGUCCGGAAUUAUUGGGCGUAAAGAGCUCGUAGGCGGNUUGUCGCGUCUGCUGUGAAAUCCCGAGGCUCAACCUCGGGCUUGCAGUGGGUACGGGCAGACUANAGUGCGGUAGGGGAGAUUGGAAUUCCUGGUGUAGCGGUGGAAUGCGCAGAUAUCANGAGGAACACCGAUGGCGAAGGCAGAUCUCUGGGCCGUAACUGACGCUGAGGAGCGAAAGCGUGGGGAGCGAACAGGAUUAGAUACCCUGGUAGUCCACGCCGUAAACGUUGGGCGCUAGAUGUAGGGACCUUUCCACGGUUUCUGUGUCGNAGCUAACGCAAGUAAGCGCCCCGCCUGGGGAGUACGGCCGCAAGGCUAAAACUCAAAGGAAUUGAC